UAAAUUUUUAUUCAAAAGACUUUUAAUGAUGAUCUCUUCAAAUUCUUGAUGGUCGUCAUCAAUGAGAAAUUUUGUUUACACAAGUAAAUAUUAAUAUAAAUUUAUAAAAUUUUAAAAAAGAAAAAAUAAAAUGAUCUCUAUUUGCAUAUAACAUGAUAUUACAUAGCAAAAACCUUGAAGAAUUAACAAAAAAACCAUUAGAGCUAAUAAACAAGUUCAUCAAGUUUGCAGGAUACAAGUAAGAUCAACUUAAAAAGAUCCAUUGUAUUUCUAUGUACCAGUAAUGAAAAGUCUUAAAAUGGAAUUAAGAAUACAAUUCUACUAAACUAGGUUUCUGAAGGCCAACUGACUGAACUUAAUUCUAGAUAAAAAAUUUACUACUCUUGUGACCUUGCUCAGAGCCUCUGAAUGUCAAUUUUAUUAAUUGCAACUUACCUUUUAUUUAAUAACUCAAAAAUACUAUGCCUUUGUACCAGGCAUUAUUCCAACUUCUAAAGUUAGCACUAAAAUAACUCUGUCCCUCACAGAGUUUAUCUUCUUAAAAAAUAAAAGAAAAAAAGAAAACAAUUCCAUUUACGAUAGCAUCAAAAAAAUAAACUACUUAGGAAUAAAUCUAAUCCAAAUAAAUACAAGAUUUGUACACUGAGAACUAUAAAACAUUACUGAAAGAAACUAAAAAAGACAUAAAUAUGUAGAAAGACACCUUGUACUCAUGUAUUGGAAGACUUAAUAUUGUUAAGAUGGCAAUAUUCCUCAAAUUGAUUUGUAGAGAAGAAGCAAUUCCUGCCAAACUCCAACUAUUUGAGCUCCCACUGUGGUGCAAUGGGAUCAGAAGCAUCUUAAGAGUAUUGACAUGGGGCUUCAAUCCCCGGCCAGGCACAGUGUGUUAAGGAUCAGUCAUUGCCACAGCUGCAGCUUAGGUCACAACUGCAGUUUGGAUCUGAUCCCCGACCCAGGAACUCCAUAUGCCAUGGGGCGGGCAAAAAUGGAAAAAAAAACAAAACAAAAAAUCAACUACCUUCUUGUAGAAAUGAGCAAAUUUAUCCUAAAAUUCAUUUAGAAAUGCAAGGAACUCAGUGAAAACAAUUUUGAAAAAGAACUAAUUUGAAGAACUCAAUAGUUCUUGACUUCAAAAAGCUACAGUAAAAAAAGGGUAUGGUAUUGGCAUUAAGGUAGACACAUAGAUCAAGGGAAUAGAAUUGAAAGUCCAGAAAUACACCCCCACAUCUAUAGAGCCAAUUGAUUUUUGACGGGGGAAAAAAACUGUUCAAUAGGGGGAAAAGAGUCUCAACCAACAGUACUAGACCAACUGUAUAACCACACCUAGCUCAUAGCAUAAUCAAAAACUAAUUCAAAAUGGAUCACAGAUGUAAAUGUAAGAAUAAAACUAUAAACCUCAUGACUCUCCAAAAAGGGGCACAACAACUCAAAUGAUGAGAGAAAACAUUUACAAGUCAAAAUAUCUGAGGAGCGUCUAUUAUUCAAAAUACAUAAAGAUCCCAUUGGUUUAUUUUUGCUUUUAUUUCUGUUGCUUUGGGAGGCUGACCUGAGGAAACAUAUGUAAGGUUGAUGUCAGAGAACAUUUUGUCUAUGUUCUCUUCCAUGAGUCUGAUGGUGUUUUGUCUUAUAUUUAGGUCUUUAAGCCAUUUUGAGUUUAUUUUCAUGCAUGGUGUGAGUGUAUGUUCUAGCUUCAUUGAUUUGCAUGCAGCUGUACAGGUUUCCCAGCAAUUCUUGCUGAAAAGACUGUCUUUUUCCCAUUUUAUGUUCUUACCUCCUUUGUCAAAGACUAAUUGACCAUAGGUGUCUGGGUUUAUUUCUGGGUUCUCUAUUCUGUUCCAUUGGCCUGUAUGUGUUUUGGUACCAGUACCAUGCUGUCUUGAUGACUGUGGCUUUGUAGUAUUUCUUGAAGUCUGGGAGAGUUAUGCCUCCUGCUUGGUUUUUGUUCCUCAGAAUUGCUUUGGCAAUUCUGGGUCUUUUAUGGUUCCAUGUAAAUUUUUAGAUUGUUCUAGUUCUGUGAAAAAUGUCAUGGGUAAAUUGAUAGGGAUUGCACUGAAUCUGUAGAUUGCUUUGGGUAGUAUGGCCAUUUUUACAAUAUUAAUUUUUCCAACCCUGGAGCAUGGAAUAGCUUUCCAUUUCUUUACAUCUUCCUUAAUUUCCUUGAUUAAUGUUUUAUAGUUCUCAGCAUAUAAGUCUUUUACCUCCUUGGUCAGGUGUAUUCCCAGGUAUUUGAUUUUUUGAGGUACAAUUUUAAAAGGUAUUGUACUUUUUUAUUCCUUUUCUAAUAUUUCAUUGUUAGUAUAUAGAAAUGUGACUGAUUUCUGAAUGUUAAUCUUAUAUCCUGCUACUUUGCUGAAUGUGUAGAUCAGUUCAAGUAGUUUUUGGGUUAAGUCCUUAGGGUUUUCUAUAUAUAGUUUCAUGUCAUCUGCAUACAGUGACAGUUUUUUUACCUCUUCUCUUCCUAUUUGGAUGCCUUUUAUUUCUUUUGUUUGUCUUAUUGCUGUGGCUAGGACUUCUAGUACUACGUUGAAUAACAGUGGUGAGAGUGGGCAGGCUUUAGAUUUUAGUGGGAAGGCUUUCGGCUUUUCUCCAUUGAGUAUUAUAUUUGCUGUGGCUUUGUCAUAAGUGGCUUUGAUUAUGUUAAGGUAUUUUCCCUCUAUACCCACUUUGGUAAGAGUUUUGAUCAUGAAUGGAUGUUGGACUUUGUCAAAUGCUCUUUCUGCAUCUAUUGAGAUGAUCAUGUGGUUUUUGACUUUUCUUUUGCUAAUGCGGUGUAUGAUGUUGAUUGAUUUGCGUAUGUUGAACCAUCCUCGUGAACUUGGGAUGAAUCCCACUUGGUCGUGGUGUAUGAUCUUUUUUAUAUGUUGUUGGAUUUGUUUGGCUAUGACUUUGCUGAGAAUUUUUGUGUUUAUAUUCAUCAAAGAUAUUGGCCUAUAGUUUUCUUUCUUAGUGGUAUCUUAGGUUUUGGAAUUAGGGUGAUGGUGGCAUAUAGAAUGUCUUUGGGAGUGUUCCUUCUUCUUCAACCUUUUGAAAAAGUUUAAGGAAGAUGGGUAUAAGUUUCUCUUUGUGUGUUUGGUAGAAUUUGCCUGUGAAGCCAUCUGAUCCUGGACUUUUAUUUGUAGGGAGUGUUUUUAUGACAUAUUCAAUUUCAUUUCUAGUGAUUGGUCUGUUCAGUUGAUCUAUUUCUUCUUGAUUCAGUUUUGGCAGGCUGUAAGUCUCUAGAAAGUUGUUCAUUUAUUCUAGGUUGUCCAAUUCAUUAUCAUACAAUUGUUCAUAGUAUUCUUUCAUGUUUUUUUGUAUUUCUGCAGUAUCUGUUGUGACUUCUCCUUUUUCAUUUCUUAUUUUGUUUAUUUGGGUUUUUUCUCUCCUCUUCUUGGUGAGUUUAGCCAGAGGUCUGUCAAUUUUGUUUACCUUUUCAAAGAACCAGCUCUUGGUUUUAUUGUUUGUUUGUCUUUUUGUCUUUUGAGGGCCACACCCAUGGCAUAUGGAGGUUUCCAGGCUAAGGGUCUAAUUGGAGCUGUAGCCUCCAGCCUAUGACACAGCCACAGCAACGCCAGAGCCAAGCUGCGUCUAUGACCUACACCACAGCUCACGGCAACGCUGCAUCCUUAACCCACUGAGAGAGGCUAGGGAUCGAACCUGCAACCUCAUGGUUCCUAGUUGGAUUCAUUUUCUGCUGUGCCACGAUGGGAACUCCUGAUUUUUUUUCCAUUUUUUUAAAUCUCUAUUUUAUUAAGGGAGUGGAAUGGAUUGAGAGCUUGGGGUUAAUAGAUGCAGACUAUUGCCUUUGGAAUGGAUUAGCAAUGAGAUUCUGCUGUGUAGCACUAGGAAGGAACUAUGUUCAGUCAUUUAUGAUGGAGCAUGAUAAUGUGAGAAAAAAGAAUGUAUACAUGUAUGUGUAACUGGGUCACCAUGCUGUACAGUAGGAAAAAAAUAAUGUAUUGGCAAAAUAAAAAAAUAAAAUAAAAUAAAAAAACAGGAAGAAACAAAGAAAUAAACAAAAUGUAUAAAGAACUCUUACAACUCGACAAUGAGACAAAUACACAAUUUAAAAUGGCAAAGAAGCUGAAUAGAUGUUUCUUCAAAAAAGAUGCUUCUUCAAAUAGACAAUAAGCACUUAAAAAAAGUUUAGUAUCAUUAGUCACUAGGGAAAUAUAAAUUAAAACUACAAUGAAAUACCACUUUAUACCCACUAGGAAAACUAUAAUUUUUUUUUAAAAGGAAAUAAAGUAUUGCCAAGAAUAUGGAGAAAUUACAAUCCUAAUGGUGCAGUCAGUCUGGAAAACAGUCUGACAGUUCCUCAAUAGAGUUACCACAUAAUCCAGCAAUUCCAUUCCAAGGUAUAUACCCAAGAAAACUGAAAACAGAUUUUCAAACAAAAUUUGUACAUGACUAUUCACUACAGCACUAUUCACAAUAGCCAAAAAAAAGGAAACAAUUCAAAUGGGGGCUAAGGGUCAGGGAAUGGGGAGUGACUGCUAAUAGCUAUGGUUUUUCUUUAUUAUUGCAUGAAAAUGCUCUGGGAUUACACAGCGAUGAUGGUUACACAGCUCUCUGAAUAUUCUAAAGGUCACUGAAUCACACAUUUUAAAUUGGUGAUUUUUAUAGCUAUCUGAAUCAUAUCUCAAUAAAAAGGUCAGUUUAAAAAUAAUUUCCUACUCAACAUUAAUAAAAACUAAAAAAGCAAAAAGUUGUCUAUUUUAAAAAAUAGAUAUAUUUUUGUCAAAGAAAGGGAUUUUGUUCUCAUUUCUACCAGUUGAUUAGAAAGACCAAUAUUAAGAUCAUACCCAGUGACUAAACUAGCAAUGGUAAUGAGGGCCAGGGAAUUUUAAAAAUACUGUUUCCGAGAAACUCAAUUGUCUUAGUUUGAGUUUCCCCAGAAACAGAUCUUAAAACAGAGAUUUAUGUGCAAAUAGUCUAUUUGGGAGGUGAAGGAAAUACCAGCAGGGGAGCCGGAAAGUGAGUCAGGGAAGGGAAGGCAGCCAAUGAAGUGUGUGUUAUCAGGCAAAAUCACCACUGAGGGUAGCUGGAACUUGAUCCUGUUGCGGAAGCCUGUGAGCCAGUGUAGAAAUGUGUUUCAGAGUGACCCUCAUCCCCAGGGAUAAGGAGCUGGGAUAUUUACACUGCAAUUCCCCUCAUUGGUUGAGGGUUAGCUCCUCCAGCAGCAAAAGAAAGCCCUCAAGCAAAGAGAGGCAGAUGCUGGUAGCUAGAAGCUGGGCAGACUUGCCCUGAGGACCCUGACAGUUUAGGGUAUAUCCCAUCAUCAGAACUCUCCACCAGAUGGUUAUAGAUCAUGAGUUCUGAAUAAAAACUUAGAUUAGAGUUUUAGCUUCAGCCCUUGGGGCAGGCUACUCAGCUUUCUGAGACAUAUUUCCCCAUAUGCAAAAUGUGGGAAGGAGGGGGUAAAAACACAUCUCACAGGAGCGUUAAGAGGAUAAAAUAAGAUGAUACAGAUGAAUGUUCCUUACAAUUUAGUUACUAGGCCUUUUAAUUUUUAAAUUUUAUUUUAAAAUAUGUGGCACCUGCCCCCUUUCAAUUUUGUUCAUCAACCUAUGAAUAUGCAGAGUAACAGAGUAUUGUGGCAGCAACUGCUGUAUGUUUGCCAAAAUGUGUUUCGUCUUUUUCGGGGCUCACGGAUUACUUCUCCAAGGUGUCCUUGCACUUAGGGAAGACCAUGUGAUUGAAAUGUGUUGCAUUGCAAGGCUUGGUCCCAAAAACUUGCUACAAGCCCUUUUCUGUGUCUUUCCCUUCUUCCGGCUGGUGGAAAUGGAGAAAAUUGCCAAGGUGACUUUACAUGUUAAAGAUGGUAGAGUAUGGAUCUCUGGACGACCCAUCUACUCUCCCUUCCCAUUUUUUUUUUUUUUUUUUUUUUUUGUCUUUUUGCCUUUUCUAGGGCUGCUCCAGUAGCAUGUGGAGGUUUCCCAGGCUAGGGAUCUAAUCGGAGCUGUAGCCGCCGGCCUACACCACAGCCACAGCAACGCAGAAUCUGAGCCGUGUCUGCAACCUACACCACAGCUCACGGCAACAGUGGACCCUUAACCCGCUGAGCAAGGCCAGGGAUUGAACCCGCAACCUCAUGGUUUCUAGUGGGAUUCGUUAACCACUGCGCCUUGACGGGAACUCCCCUUCCUAUAUUGUUACAUGAGCAAGAAUUCCAGUAUUGGAGUUCCCUUCGUGGCUCAGCGGAAAUGAAUCAGAUAGCAUCCAUGAGGUCACAGGUUUGAUCCCUGGCCUUGCUCAGUGCAUUAAGGAUCCGGCGUUGCUGAGUAGGUGGUAGAUGAGGCUCGGAUCUGGCGUUACUAUGGCUGUGGUGUAGCUACAGCUCUGAUUCAGCCCUUACCCUGGGGCUGAAUCAUAUUCAUACCCUCCAUAUUCCAUGUUUGCGGCCCUAAAAAAAGACCAAAAAAAAAAAAAA
RNAcentral lists this long non-coding RNA (6412 nucleotides) under Sus scrofa (pig). RNAcentral's name for it is "lncRNA (ENSSSCG00065014186.1)". The record is from RNAcentral. Lineage: Eukaryota; Metazoa; Chordata; Mammalia; Artiodactyla; Suidae.